UACGGAGGGUGCAAGCGUUAUCCGGAUUUACUGGGUUUAAAGGGUGUGUAGGCGGACUUUUAAGUCAGCGGUGAAAUCUCCGGGCUCAACCCGGAAACUGCCAUUGAUACUAUUGGUCUUGAAUGUUGUUGAGGUGGGCGGAACGGGUCAUGUAGCGGUGAAAUGCAUAGAUAUGCCAUAGAACACCAAUUGCGAAGGCAGCUGGCUAGACCUGGAUUGACGCUGAGGCACGAAAGCGUGGGGAGCGAACAGG
This 253-nucleotide ribosomal RNA is filed under the name uncultured bacterium. Its description in RNAcentral is "partial 16S ribosomal RNA". It matches the Rfam family "Bacterial small subunit ribosomal RNA", at positions 524 to 776 of the family's 1533-position model. The record is from RNAcentral.